RNAcentral lists this ribosomal RNA (580 nucleotides) under uncultured bacterium. RNAcentral describes it as "partial 16S ribosomal RNA". It matches the Rfam family "Bacterial small subunit ribosomal RNA", at positions 355 to 924 of the family's 1533-position model. The record is from RNAcentral.
UGGGGAAUUUUGGACAAUGGGCGAAAGCCUGAUCCAGCAAUGCCGCGUGUGUGAAGAAGGCCUUCGGGUUGUAAAGCACUUUUGUCCGGAAAGAAAUCCUUGGCUCUAAUACAGUCGGGGGAUGACGGUACCGGAAGAAUAAGCACCGGCUAACUACGUGCCAGCAGCCGCGGUAAUACGUAGGGUGCAAGCGUUAAUCGGAAUUACUGGGCGUAAAGCGUGCGCAGGCGGUUUGCUAAGACCGAUGUGAAAUCCCCGGGCUCAACCUGGGAACUGCAUUGGUGACUGGCAGGCUAGAGUAUGGCAGAGGGGGGUAGAAUUCCACGUGUAGCAGUGAAAUGCGUAGAGAUGUGGAGGAAUACCGAUGGCGAAGGCAGCCCCCUGGGCCAAUACUGACGCUCAUGCACGAAAAGCGUGGGGAGCAAAACAGGAUUAGAUACCCUGGUAGUCCACGCCCUAAAACGAUGUCAACUAGUUGUUGGGGACUUCAUUUCCUUAGUAACGUAGCUAACGCGUGAAGUUGACCGCCUGGGGAGUACGGUCGCAAGAUUAAAACUCAAAUGAAUUGACGGGUCAUAGC